This 1446-nucleotide ribosomal RNA is filed under the name uncultured organism. Its description in RNAcentral is "SSU rRNA". It matches the Rfam family "Bacterial small subunit ribosomal RNA". The record is from RNAcentral.
CGGCAGGCCUAACACAUGCAAGUCGAGCGGUAGCACAGAGAGCUUGCUCUCGGGUGACGAGCGGCGGACGGGUGAGUAAUGUCUGGGAAACUGCCUGAUGGAGGGGGAUAACUACUGGAAACGGUAGCUAAUACCGCAUAACGUUGCAAGACCAAAGUGGGGGACCUUCGGGCCUCAUGCCAUCAGAUGUGCCCAGAUGGGAUUAGCUAGUAGGUGGGGUAACGGCUCACCUAGGCGACGAUCCCUAGCUGGUCUGAGAGGAUGACCAGCCACACUGGAACUGAGACACGGUCCAGACUCCUACGGGAGGCAGCAGUGGGGAAUAUUGCACAAUGGGCGCAAGCCUGAUGCAGCCAUGCCGCGUGUGUGAAGAAGGCCUUCGGGUUGUAAAGCACUUUCAGCGGGGAGGAAGGCGUUAAGGCUAAUAACCUUGGCGAUUGACGUUACCCGCAGAAGAAGCACCGGCUAACUCCGUGCCAGUAGCCGCGGUAAUACGGAGGGUGCAAGCGUUAAUCGGAAUUACUGGGCGUAAAGCGCACGCAGGCGGUCUGUCAAGUCGGAUGUGAAAUCCCCGGGCUCAACCUGGGAACUGCAUUCGAAACUGGCAGGCUAGAGUCUUGUAGAGGGGGGUAGAAUUCCAGGUGUAGCGGUGAAAUGCGUAGAGAUCUGGAGGAAUACCGGUGGCGAAGGCGGCCCCCUGGACAAAGACUGACGCUCAGGUGCGAAAGCGUGGGGAGCAAACAGGAUUAGAUACCCUGGUAGUCCACGCCGUAAACGAUGUCGAUUUGGAGGUUGUGCCCUUGAGGCGUGGCUUCCGGAGCUAACGCGUUAAAUCGACCGCCUGGGGAGUACGGCCGCAAGGUUAAAACUCAAAUGAAUUGACGGGGGCCCGCACAAGCGGUGGAGCAUGUGGUUUAAUUCGAUGCAACGCGAAGAACCUUACCUGGUCUUGACAUCCACAGAACUUUCCAGAGAUGGAUUGGUGCCUUCGGGAACUGUGAGACAGGUGCUGCAUGGCUGUCGUCAGCUCGUGUUGUGAAAUGUUGGGUUAAGUCCCGCAACGAGCGCAACCCUUAUCCUUUGUUGCCAGCGGUUAGGCCGGGAACUCAAAGGAGACUGCCAGUGAUAAACUGGAGGAAGGUGGGGAUGACGUCAAGUCACCAUGGCCCUUACGACCAGGGCUACACACGUGCUACAAUGGCAUAUACAAAGAGAAGCGACCUCGCGAGAGCAAGCGGACCUCAUAAAGUAUGUCGUAGUCCGGAUUGGAGUCUGCAACUCGACUCCAUGAAGUCGGAAUCGCUAGUAAUCGUAGAUCAGAAUGCUACGGUGAAUACGUUCCCGGGCCUUGUACACACCGCCCGUCACACCAUGGGAGUGGGUUGCAAAAGAAGUAGGUAGCUUAACCUUCGGGAGGGCGCUUACCACUUUGUGAUUCAUGACUGG